Molecule: ribosomal RNA, 269 nt
Filed under: Escherichia coli
Lineage: Bacteria; Pseudomonadati; Pseudomonadota; Gammaproteobacteria; Enterobacterales; Enterobacteriaceae
Description: partial 23S ribosomal RNA
Rfam family: Bacterial large subunit ribosomal RNA
Source: RNAcentral
CUGGAGGUAUCAGAAGUGCGAAUGCUGACAUAAGUAACGAUAAAGCGGGUGAAAAGCCCGCUCGCCGGAAGACCAAGGGUUCCUGUCCAACGUUAAUCGGGGCAGGGUGAGUCGACCCCUAAGGCGAGGCCGAAAGGCGUAGUCGAUGGGAAACAGGUUAAUAUUCCUGUACUUGGUGUUACUGCGAAGGGGGGACGGAGAAGGCUAUGUUGGCCGGGCGACGGUUGUCCCGGUUUAAGCGUGUAGGCUGGUUUUCCAGGCAAAUCCGG